AGUUGCAUUACAGGGCAAAGAUCUCCAUUGGCAGGCUGCCACUUUGGGUCACGAACCGAAUUAUGUGUUCCUAUAGUGUGCCUUCUGCCAAAGGAGAUUUGCCCGGCAAUUCUUCC
RNAcentral lists this microRNA precursor (116 nucleotides) under Theobroma cacao (cacao). Its description in RNAcentral is "mir-399 microRNA precursor family". It matches the Rfam family "mir-399 microRNA precursor family". From Rfam's summary of the family: mir-399 was identified in both Arabidopsis thaliana and Oryza sativa computationally and was later experimentally verified. mir-399 is thought to target mRNAs coding for a phosphatase transporter. The mature sequence is excised from the 3' arm of the hairpin. The record is from Rfam by way of RNAcentral. Lineage: Eukaryota; Viridiplantae; Streptophyta; Magnoliopsida; Malvales; Malvaceae.